This 600-nucleotide small RNA is filed under the name Pongo abelii (Sumatran orangutan). RNAcentral's name for it is "retained intron". Lineage: Eukaryota; Metazoa; Chordata; Mammalia; Primates; Hominidae. The record is from RNAcentral.
GUGGAACUCCCAUGCCAGAUAUACUGCCAAGGCCACCCUGAGGGGCUGCCAACCGGGGCCCCAUGAGUGCUAGAGCUGCUGGUCUUGUGACGUGGGCACCUGUCUUCCAGGCCUGGGCACGGGCCCAGGGUCACGCUCAUGCUGGGGCUCCCGUCAGCUGACUAUUUUGGGCUCUUGCUGACCUGGGCCAAAGUUAGGUCCAGCCAAGAGGGCCCAAAGUGGCUCCCCCCAUCCCCAGAGGCCAGCUCUGGUUUCUGCUAUAUAAACAGAGAAGGACACGCCGGCUUGGAGGCAGCACCACAUCCAGAGCUCGCUUAGCUGCUGUCCAGCCUCGGCUGUGAGGAUAGGCUGGCUGGGCAGCACGUCUCUCCCCGCAGGGCUCCCUGAGGCCGCCAGGAAGAGCCCCCAACCAAUAUUGGGAUUCUCCCUUCGUGCGGUUGUCUGGGACCUUUUUCCAGGGUCAAAGCAGAUCGUGAGGAGGAAGCUGAGAUGCCCUGUAUCCAAGCCCAAUAUGGGACACCAGCACCAAGUCCAGGACCCCGUGACCACCUGGCAAGCGACCCCUUGACCCCUGAGUUCAUCAAGCCCACCAUGGACCUG